Astatotilapia calliptera (eastern happy) is the source of this 2475-nucleotide long non-coding RNA. The record is from Ensembl. NCBI's taxonomy places the organism in Eukaryota, Metazoa, Chordata, Actinopteri, Cichliformes, Cichlidae.
GCCUCUUCUGAUGCAAAGACUAUUCAGUUAAGCAAAGCAGAGCGGGUCAUCACUCUGGUCUGUGUGUCAGAGGCAAUCCAGAUAUUAAUGACAUUAAUUUCUCAGACUGUUCUUAACGGUUGUGAAUCCAGUCUGUUCUAGUAGAGAAUGGUUAUCAUUUAUCUCAUGCUUGGUUAUCUCCUCUCUGGUAAGCACUCACCUACAUUUAUGUAUAUAUGUCUAUAUUUUCUUGUUCUCUGUUUGUAUAUGUGCCAGUUUAGCUCUAAAUAAUUCGCUCUAUAUUCUGAUAUCGUAGCUGGUACUGACUGCCUGUGUUACUGUUGAGUUUUUGAAAUGUACCAUCACAGGGUAAACUAUGGCAGAUGGGGGAAAAGGAAAAUUGUACAUCUGGAAAUGUCAUGUCGCAGCUAAUGUGCCUGAACAUUGCCUGCCAAUAAAAUGCAAAAUGAGAUGCAUUGGAAAAAUGUUCCUGACGUUAUUUUUUUUCAUCUGUUUUUCUCAUAGAUACUUAUGCGAAAUGUGAAAACAGCACUUUGUGUAAUGGUUAGUCCUCACUUUGUUUUUAUUUGUUUUGUUUGUUUGUUUUUUAUAAAUCCUGUGAACUUGAAUAGACUGCAACUGGUAGAGAGGUGUGAUAACAGCCUAAGGUUGUGUCUGACACUAAAAUGAAAUAUAAAUUAAAUAUUGAUAAGCUUUUUUUUUCUUUGAUAAUUGUGUAUCUCUAAAAUUAAAUCUUUAAGAGUAAAGAAAGUCGACCAGAUUACGUUUAAAUUUCUUUUUUUUAAUAAUGCUGAAUGUGACAGUGUUCAUUCUUCUUCAUUUUUUUUCUCUUUAGGAGCAACAUUUAAACAAUGCACUGAAUGUAACAUUUGAGAAUACCUUUGUCUGAAGCAAUGGAUUAUAACAGAGCACACUCUAAUUACCUAACAUUAUUUAUUGUUGCUUUCCUCGCUUUUCAUGUUUACUCUGCCCAUCAGAUGAAGUGUUCAUCAGCAGCGAGCCAUCCAGCCCAAAUGAGGGUGACGACGUCACUCUCACAUGCAAUGAAAAAUGUGAAAAUUCAACUGUGACUUUUCAGUGGAAGAAAAAUAAGGCGGUCAAAGAAAAAGAAAAUAAUAAGACCUUUCUUAUCCAAAGUGCCCUUUCAAUUUCUGACAUAUACAUCUGCUCAGUAAAGUGCUCCCGUUACUGUUGUGAUUCUAAACCAUACACACUGUCUGUAAAAAGUAAGUCCAUCCAUCUGUAUACUUCUGUUAUAUGUUAUGAUUUUAGAAAUGUGUAUAAUGGCAUGCUAUCAACAGCCCUUGAUACCAUGUGUCUUCACUUCCUGUGUAUUUGUCUAUGUGUGUGUCAUUGUCCAGACAACACUGUGAUCAUCUUGGUGGUCUGUGGUGUUGCAGCUUUGGCCCUUGUUUUGAUUAUGGGACUGAUUAUGAAGUGUAAGCUGAAAAGAGACAGUGGUAAGAGCUCAUUUUAAGAUGUCUGUGGUAUUAGACAACAAUAAGAAAGAAAGAAAGAAAGAAAGAAAGAAAGAAAGAAAGAAAGAAAGAAAGAAAGAAAGAAAGAAGUUUUUCUAGUUUUAACUAACUUAACUAUCAUGAUAUGACUAUCAAUAAAAUACAACAAAUUUUGAUGCUUAUUAUGAAUGUCUGGGUGAAAACAGGCUGUUUUUGCCGCAUUACAAGUAAUUGUGCGAGGCUAAGCUAACAGGCUGGUGCCUUCAGUUACAACUUUGAACAAUAUCGUUGAUGAUCUUGAAUCUAUCUACACAUCAGAACUCAGAAUGACACAUCUGACUGAUUUGAAUGCUCUCUCUCUGCAGAUAAACACAGGGAGAGGGUGAGACAGAGACAGGCUGGACAGGCUGCUGGUGGGCCAUAUCCUGUCACACCCAGAGAGUCCUAAAAAGAAAACAUUCUAUCAUAUUUUGAUAUAAUAAAUUCUGAUCUUAUGCAACAUAAUAUAUAUUUAUCUUUUUGAUAUUUCAGACUUUUGAAUGCUCACAAAUUGAAUAAAUACUCUUUAAUCUCUGUUUUUGAGUGCAUGUGUGCGUGUUUAAUCAGUUAAAGUCACACUUUUCCACAAUGUAGCGUUGCAUUUCUGUUAGUUUGCUCAGUUUAAAAAAAAAAGAACCUAGAAAUGUUUUAAUCCACACACAGGAUUGGCAUGCUCGCACUAAUCCUGCUGAAUGCUCCACUCACAGUGGCACACACUGCUCAGCUUUACAGUGGCUUGCAUGUAAUGGAUAUAUGGGAGUGUAAUGCUGUCUACUCCUAUCCAUGAGAGGGAUGAAUGUGGGAUUUGAAGAUUGACUUAUGAACAUAGUAAUAGCGUUAGGUGCCUCGAUUCAAUGUCAGGAUGCAAUGAUUUGAAGUUUAAGUGUUAAGCUCGGUCUUCAUGCUGCCAGAGUGCCUGGCAUUAGCAGUGUUUUGGGGGGGUUCCCCUCCCGGCCAUAUGGCAAAAACUUAUUUAUCC